GAAUAUGUAGUCGGCCGUUUCGACCCUAUCUUCGCGCGGUAGAAGUCGUAGGUUCGAGUCCUGCCUCUCCA
This 71-nucleotide transfer RNA is filed under the name Granulicella mallensis. Its description in RNAcentral is "tRNA-Ala". The record is from RNAcentral. Lineage: Bacteria; Pseudomonadati; Acidobacteriota; Terriglobia; Terriglobales; Acidobacteriaceae.